This is a non-coding RNA of Camelina sativa (false flax), 133 nucleotides long. The record is from RefSeq and is a predicted model, not a curated record. NCBI's taxonomy places the organism in Eukaryota, Viridiplantae, Streptophyta, Magnoliopsida, Brassicales, Brassicaceae.
UCUUAGACAGCUUGUCAGAAAUGGUGAGAUUGAUGCUGCUAUGGUUAAACUCCGGGAGUGGUAUCCCCAAACUGUACAGGACGAUAAAUCGGUGGUUUGUUUCCUCCUGCACUGUCAACAUUUUAUUGAAUUA